Molecule: ribosomal RNA, 497 nt
Filed under: uncultured bacterium
Lineage: Bacteria
Description: partial 16S ribosomal RNA
Rfam family: Bacterial small subunit ribosomal RNA
Source: RNAcentral
GAUGAACGCUGGCGGCGUGCCUAAUACAUGCAAGUCGAGCGAACAGACGAGGAGCUUGCUCCUCUGACGUUAGCGGCGGACGGGUGAGUAACACGUGGAUAACCUACCUAUAAGACUGGGAUAACUUCGGGAAACCGGAGCUAAUACCGGAUAAUAUAUUGAACCGCAUGGUUCAAUAGUGAAAGACGGUUUUGCUGUCACUUAUAGAUGGAUCCGCGCCGCAUUAGCUAGUUGGUAAGGUAACGGCUUACCAAGGCGACGAUGCGUAGCCGACCUGAGAGGGGGAUCGGCCACACUGGAACUGAGACACGGUCCAGACUCCUACGGGAGGCAGCAGUAGGGAAUCUUCCGCAAUGGGCGAAAGCCUGACGGAGCAACGCCGCGUGAGUGAUGAAGGUCUUCGGAUCGUAAAACUCUGUUAUUAGGGAAGAACAAAUGUGUAAGUAACUAUGCACGGCUUGACGGUACCUAAUCAGAAAGCCACGGCUAACUACGUG